RNAcentral lists this unclassified non-coding RNA (342 nucleotides) under soil metagenome. RNAcentral's name for it is "partial contains 5.8S ribosomal RNA, internal transcribed spacer 2, and large subunit ribosomal RNA". The stretch from base 1 to 120 matches the Rfam family "5.8S ribosomal RNA", at positions 35 to 154 of the family's 154-position model. The record is from RNAcentral.
GAUGAAGAACGUAGCGAAAUGCGAUAAGUAAUGUGAAUUGCAGAAUUCAGUGAAUCAUCGAAUCUUUGAACGCACAUUGCGCCCGCCAGCACUCUGGCGGGCAUGCCUGUUCGAGCGUCAUUUCAACCAUCAAGCCCCCAGGGGCUUGUGCUGGGGCCCUGCGGCUGCCCGCAGGCCCUGAAAACCAGUGGCGGGCUCGCUAGUCACACCGAGCGCAGUAGCACAUCUCGUUCAGGGCGUGCGGCGGGCUCCUGCCGUGAAACCCCCCACUGUAACCCCAAAGGUUGACCUCGGAUCAGGUAGGAAUACCCGCUGAACUUAAGCAUAUCAAUAAGCGGAGGA